Molecule: ribosomal RNA, 468 nt
Filed under: uncultured bacterium
Lineage: Bacteria
Description: partial 16S ribosomal RNA
Rfam family: Bacterial small subunit ribosomal RNA
Source: RNAcentral
GACGAACGCUGGCGGCGUGCUUAACACAUGCAAGUCGAACGGAAAGGCCCUGCUUUUGUGGGGUGCUCGAGUGGCGAACGGGUGAGUAACACGUGAGUAACCUGCCCUUGACUUUGGGAUAACUUCAGGAAACUGGGGCUAAUACCGGAUAGGAGCUCCUGCUGCAUGGUGGGGGUUGGAAAGUUUCGGCGGUUGGGGAUGGACUCGCGGCUUAUCAGCUUGGUGGUGGGGUAGUGGCUUACCAAGGCUUUGACGGGUAGCCGGCCUGAGAGGGUGACCGGCCACAUUGGGACUGAGAUACGGCCCAGACUCCUACGGGGGGCAGCAGUGGGGAAUAUUGCACAAUGGGCGGAAGCCUGAUGCAGCAACGCCGCGUGCGGGAUGACGGCCUUCGGGUUGUAAACCGCUUUCGCCUGUGACGAGGCGUGAGUGACGGUAAUGGGUAAAGAAGCACCGGCUAACUACGUG